Molecule: long non-coding RNA, 593 nt
Organism: Triticum urartu
Lineage: Eukaryota; Viridiplantae; Streptophyta; Magnoliopsida; Poales; Poaceae
Source: RefSeq, a predicted model, not a curated record
UGGCAAGCCUCUGCAUGAAUAAAAGAUCUAGUAAAAGCUUUACAUGUUGAGGACACCACAGAAAUGAAACUCUUCUCUGAAAUUCAUGUUGGAAAUGCACUUCAUCAUCUCAUUACCCGUAUUUCCAUUCUGCCUCGAUGAAUGGGCCGACCCGGAGGCUCACAUAGAGGCCUUGAGCAUGGAUUUCUCUGAUGAACUUCACAAGAUCGUAUCUUCCUUCGAAGUUGUACUGGGAGCACCCACCUGACCUUGGAUAGGCUCAUGGACAUUCCAGAAGACGUAUGUCUGUAUGACAUCCAGGCCACCUUCCCUGGCGCUCUCUAUGAGUCUUGGCCACAUCUGCUAAUUGGAUUGUACAUUAGUUUGAAGGAAAGGAACUGAGGUUUUCUGCUUCAUACAGUAUGAUUCGUGGCGCAUGCUUGAUUGCUUGAUUGCUUACUGUAUGUAUGUAUGUAUGUAUUGACUGAACUAAUUUGAUUGCUGGGUGAAACUUUAACUGAACUAAUCUGUUUAUCUAGUGAGUUAGAUUUUCUGCUGUAGUGUACUAGCAAUCAAGAAUUUACUUUAAUUAAAAAAUGCUUGAAAUGAUGUCU